Molecule: long non-coding RNA, 845 nt
Filed under: Ananas comosus (pineapple)
Lineage: Eukaryota; Viridiplantae; Streptophyta; Magnoliopsida; Poales; Bromeliaceae
Description: long non-coding RNA (ACOM_LNC024452)
Source: RNAcentral
UAAUGCUAUUAUACUAUCUAUAGUACUAGAGCUCCGAUAUUAUAAUCUUAUUUUCGAUCUCAGGGUGUUCAAAUUAACGAUCUACACUGUUAAAUAUAAUCUAGAAUCUAUGAAGUUCUUAGAAAUAAAAUUUUAAUUUUUUCCAACAUUGUUUACUUAGUAAGUAAAUCAUAUUAAAAUGAAUAUGAAAAUUGAACAAUUUUAAAAAUUUGUGGGUAAAACUUUUGAAUUCAAGAUCAAGAAUGCUGACCUUGAUUUAAUGAAUUUAAAAUAUUUUCUAUCAAAAUUUGAAUAAAUUUAAAUUCUUUUACACCGUUAAACUAUAAACUCACUGUAAUAGCUAUUGAAAAUUGACAAGUUUGAAAUGGGUUAUUAUGAAGUAAACUAUGUCGAAAAAAUAUAAAAUUUUAUUUCUAAAAACUUUAAAAACCCUAUAUUAGUAUUAACGGUGUUGAUCGUUGAUUUGAACAUCUUAAGAUCGAAAAUGAGACUAUAGUACCAGAGCCCCAAUACUAGAGAUAUUAUAGGAGCUUGGUUCUCUCUAUAUAUAUAUAUUAAAAAUAUUGUAAAUAUAAUGUAUUUUAAUUAUUUGUAAACUGAGUUUAGUUUAUUUGGCCAUUGUUGUUGGCCCAAAAAACAAACCCAACAAAAGUGCAAAAUCUUAUCCUAAAUUUACACACUCUCUCUCCCUCUCUUUCACAAAAUAACAAUUUCACUUGCCCUAAAACUCUAAAUCCUUAAUCUCUCUCUCUCUCUCUCUCUCUCUCUCUCUCUCGCAAAUCCCAAGCAAUAGCACACAGUCACCGCAUUCACCGCCGACCUCGUUGGCCGCCGUCACUGCAGCC